RNAcentral lists this ribosomal RNA (1730 nucleotides) under Burkholderia pseudomallei MSHR1029. Its description in RNAcentral is "bacterial LSU rRNA". It matches the Rfam family "Bacterial large subunit ribosomal RNA", at positions 1198 to 2925 of the family's 2925-position model. The record is from RNAcentral. Lineage: Bacteria; Pseudomonadati; Pseudomonadota; Betaproteobacteria; Burkholderiales; Burkholderiaceae.
AGCUGCGGAUGCGAGCUAGUCUCGCAUGGUAGGAGAGCGUUCCGUAAGCCUGCGAAGGUGCGUUGGAAAGCGUGCUGGAGGUAUCGGAAGUGCGAAUGCUGACAUGAGUAGCGAUAAAGGGGGUGAAAGGCCCCCUCGCCGUAAGCCCAAGGUUUCCUACGCAACGUUCAUCGGCGUAGGGUGAGUCGGCCCCUAAGGCGAGGCAGAAAUGCGUAGCUGAUGGGAAGCAGGUCAAUAUUCCUGCACCAUUGUUAGAUGCGAUGGGGGGACGGAUCGCGGAAGGUUGUCCGGGUGUUGGAAGUCCCGGUCGCUGCAUUGGAGAAGGCGCUUAGGCAAAUCCGGGCGCAGGAUUCAAGGGUGUGGCGCGAGCGCUCUAGGGCGCGAAGCAAUUGGAAGUGGUUCCAAGAAAAGCCUCUAAGCUUCAGUCUAACGAUGACCGUACCGCAAACCGACACAGGUGGGCGAGAUGAGUAUUCUAAGGCGCUUGAGAGAACUCGGGAGAAGGAACUCGGCAAAUUGGUACCGUAACUUCGGGAUAAGGUACGCCCUGGUAGCUUGACUGGCCUGCGCCAGAAGGGUGAAGGGGUUGCAAUAAACUGGUGGCUGCGACUGUUUAAUAAAAACACAGCACUCUGCAAACACGAAAGUGGACGUAUAGGGUGUGACGCCUGCCCGGUGCCGGAAGAUUAAAUGAUGGGGUGCAAGCUCUUGAUUGAAGUCCCGGUAAACGGCGGCCGUAACUAUAACGGUCCUAAGGUAGCGAAAUUCCUUGUCGGGUAAGUUCCGACCUGCACGAAUGGCGUAACGAUGGCCACACUGUCUCCUCCCGAGACUCAGCGAAGUUGAAGUGUUUGUGAUGAUGCAAUCUACCCGCGGCUAGACGGAAAGACCCCAUGAACCUUUACUGUAGCUUUGCAUUGGACUUUGAACCGAUCUGUGUAGGAUAGGUGGGAGGCUAUGAAACCGGAACGCUAGUUUCGGUGGAGCCGUCCUUGAAAUACCACCCUGGUUUGUUUGAGGUUCUAACCUUGGCCCGUGAUCCGGGUCGGGGACAGUGCAUGGUAGGCAGUUUGACUGGGGCGGUCUCCUCCCAAAGCGUAACGGAGGAGUACGAAGGUACGCUAGGUACGGUCGGAAAUCGUGCUGAUAGUGCAAUGGCAUAAGCGUGCUUAACUGCGAGACCGACAAGUCGAGCAGGUGCGAAAGCAGGUCAUAGUGAUCCGGUGGUUCUGUAUGGAAGGGCCAUCGCUCAACGGAUAAAAGGUACUCUGGGGAUAACAGGCUGAUACCGCCCAAGAGUUCAUAUCGACGGCGGUGUUUGGCACCUCGAUGUCGGCUCAUCUCAUCCUGGGGCUGUAGCCGGUCCCAAGGGUAUGGCUGUUCGCCAUUUAAAGAGGUACGUGAGCUGGGUUUAAAACGUCGUGAGACAGUUUGGUCCCUAUCUGCCGUGGGCGUUGGAAGUUUGAAGGGGGCUGCUCCUAGUACGAGAGGACCGGAGUGGACGAACCUCUGGUGUACCGGUUGUGACGCCAGUCGCAUCGCCGGGUAGCUAUGUUCGGAAGAGAUAACCGCUGAAAGCAUCUAAGCGGGAAACUCGCCUUAAGAUGAGACUUCCCCGGGGACUUGAUCCCCUUGAAGGGUCGUUCGAGACCAGGACGUUGAUAGGUCGGGUGUGUAAGCGCAGUAAUGCGUUCAGCUAACCGAUACUAAUUGCCCGUACGGCUUGAUCC